AAAAUUUACACACUGAGAAUUACAAAAAAGCACACUGAGAUUUAAAAACUUCAAUACGCACACUGAGAAUUGAAAAUUACACACUGAGAAUUGAAAAUUACACACUGAGAAUUAAAAAUUACACACUGAGAUUUCAUAAAGACACACUGAGAUUACAAAAAUGAAAAAUGCACACUGAGAAUUGAAUAUUAAACACUGAGAAUUGAAAAUUACACACUGAGAUUUCAAAAAGACACACUGAGAAUAAAUAAACUGAAAACACAC
Molecule: long non-coding RNA, 264 nt
Filed under: Mytilus galloprovincialis (Mediterranean mussel)
Lineage: Eukaryota; Metazoa; Mollusca; Bivalvia; Mytilida; Mytilidae
Source: RNAcentral